CAAUAGCGUAUAUUAAAGUUGUUGCAGUUAAAAAGCUUGUAGUUGGAUUUCUGGUAGGAGUGACCGUUCCGAACUUGAUUGUUCGUGUAUUGUGUUUUCUCCAGCCAUCCUUGUGGAGAACUUUUCUUGCAUUAAUUUGUAGGGAUUGGGACCCGCAUCGUUUACUGUGAAAAAAUUAGAGUGUUUAAAGCAGGCAAUCGCUUGAAUACAUUAGCAUGGAAUAAUAAGAUAGGACUUUGGUACUAUUUUGUUGGUUUGCAUACCAAAUUAAUGAUCAACAGGAACAGUUUGAGGAUAUUCGUAUGAACAUGUCAGAGGUGAAAUUCUUGGAUUUUGAUCAGACGAACUACUGCGAAAGCAUUUAUCAAGGAUGUUUUCAUUAA
Molecule: ribosomal RNA, 383 nt
Filed under: uncultured eukaryote
Lineage: Eukaryota
Description: partial 18S ribosomal RNA
Rfam family: Eukaryotic small subunit ribosomal RNA
Source: RNAcentral